GUAAAAGUGCGCCAUAGGCGGGUAUCUUAAAAAUCGUUUGGGAUACUUGCCUGUGGUGCAUUUUUACUUAUUUAGAUAUCAAGAUAAUGCACAUGCUGGGAGCUAGUCUGAUCUUUUUUAAUUGAGGUAUCAUAUUGUUCUAAAGAGAAGGCUGCUUGGAAGUCUUCCAAAUUACUAGAUUUCGACCAUACAAUUAGGAUAUUGUCAACAUAUCUAAUAAAGCUCACAAACCAGGGUCAAAAUCUCAGUAACACUUUAUUCUCCAAUUCUCUAAGUAUUAUCUCAGCCAAAGGUGUGGCUAAUAGACUUCCUAUAGGAACACCUUUUGUUUGUUGGUAAUAAACUCAUUGGAAAGUAAAAUAAGAACUGUAACAAAGCAUGUGAGCAAUGUCCCUUAAAACUUUCUCUCCUUUUAUCAAAUGGGAGGUUUUCAACAAUAAAUCUAUACAGGGCCAGAUAAACUGGCUCUAACUUUAAAGAAGGGUAAAGGCUAUCGUAAUCAAACACAGACAUAACAUAGUGUGGUUGCGAUGUUAUCAUUCUAAUCCUAUUCAAGGCUUCUUCUGUAAUGGUGGUGGAAUUCUCAUUCUGGCCUAAUAUUGUCAAACACCAACUGGCUAUAGCUUUCUCUAAAUUAAGAGUAGGAGUGCUUCAUUUUUCGACUAUGGAUCGAGGCUUAACCAGCUGUUUGUGUGUCUUCAUAUAUGCAAAGAGCCGAGGACACCUUGAUGCUUGUAUUUUCGCAUGCUUCCAUUCUUGGGGAAAGAGCCUGUUAGAGGUUAAUUUAUCUAGGGAGGCCUUGAGUUGAAAGGUUGGGUCUUUCUUCAAAACUCUAGGUUGUGUUGACGCUAUAUAGUCCAGAAGAUAGGUAUCGUACAUUUGCUUCUCUAUUAAAGCCAUUCGUUUUGAUUUAUCAUCUCUGGUGAUAAUAUAUUUGUUGUCUUUUAACCAUUGUUCAGUUUUUUUCACCAAAUAGUUAAUCUUAUAGUCAUUGGUAGGCUUGGUAGAAUUUUGGUGUGUUAAUAUUUCUCGAACAUACCUCCAUCGACAUCUUUGCCUAUCAAGCUCAUUAUCGCAAGCAGAAGUUAUUACAUCUUCGACUAUCGGUAUCUCAUCAAUUGGAGACAAUUU
This 1131-nucleotide long non-coding RNA is filed under the name Androctonus crassicauda. Lineage: Eukaryota; Metazoa; Arthropoda; Arachnida; Scorpiones; Buthidae. The record is from RNAcentral.